GGCCUAUAGCUCGAGCGGUUAGAGCGCACGCCUGAUAAGCGUGAGAUAGGAAUUGGUUCGAGUCCACUUAGGCCCU
RNAcentral lists this transfer RNA (76 nucleotides) under Anaerobacillus sp. HL2. RNAcentral describes it as "tRNA-Ile". It matches the Rfam family "tRNA". From Rfam's summary of the family: Transfer RNA (tRNA) molecules are approximately 80 nucleotides in length. The record is from RNAcentral. Lineage: Bacteria; Bacillati; Bacillota; Bacilli; Caryophanales; Bacillaceae.